UAGGGCCCAAGCCAGCCAGGAAGGAGGAGGCAGCCAGAGUGGCCACCACUGUUCUCUGCAGCAGAAGAGCCCUUGCUGCCAGGCUGCAAAGGCUGCGGACCUUCCUGCGCAAGCGGAGGCCCAAGUCUGGUCCACCAGAAGGAAGCAGCAAAAGAUAAGAAGAGGGUGCCACAGUGCCCAUGGCUGCUCAUCCCAAGAGCUGGCACUUGAUAGCCUGCUGCAGAAAGCCAAGAGACCACCAGGAUCUUGAACGGCAGGGGAGUUUUGGCAUCAGCACUCCAUCAGCCCCUCCCAGAACCAAAUGGUACCAUCUGUGCAGGCAGAGGGAGGCUGUCACUGUCAAGGAUGGGGGAGAAGCACACAAACUCUGGCAGUGCUUCAGAUUCCCAAACAAGCACUCUGAGAAUCAUAAGCUGCCAGAGACUCAGGUGAAGGAAGAGAAACCACCAAAGUCAGUGGACAGCUCAACAGAGAGGGUCUGAAUAUGGGAAGAAAUGGGCCACACAAAAACAGGCAUAGCUCGAGAGCACUUGGAAACCAGUCUGGAGAUUCAUUAGGCAGCAGUAUGCACUGCACCCUCAUCUCCUCAGAUGAAUCAGAGCUGGAGGACCUAAAACUGGGUGAGGAGCUCAUGGUGGACCACUCCACACAGACGGUCUGGGAAGACCUGAGCGAUACUAGGAGGCAAAGCUCCAGAGCAGAUUGGAACCAGUCUGGAGUGAGCAGUAUGCACUGCUCCCUCGUCUCCUCAGACCAAUCCCAGCUGGAGGACCUUAAACUGCAUGAGGAGCUAAUGGUGCUCAGCCCAACAGAGCGGGUCUCCAGAUGGGAAAACAUGGGCUACACGGACAGCCAAAGCUCCAGAGCGGUUUGGAACCAGUUUGGAGAUUCAUCAGUGAGCAGCAUGCACUGCUCAGUCGUCUCCUCAGACCAAUCCCAGCUGGAGGACCUUAAACUGCAUGAGGAGCUAAUGGUGGUCAGCCCAACAGAGCGGGUCUCCAGAUGGGAAGACAUGGGCUACACGGACAGCCAAAGCUCCAGAGCGGUUUGGAACCAGUUUGGAGAUUCAUCAGUCAGCAGCAUGCACUGCUCCCUUUUCUCCUCCAGCUCCUACCAGUCUGAGGUGGAGGACUGCAAAGUGGAUGAGGAGCUCAUCAAAAUCAUCCACAGGCUUAUGGAGGACAGAGAGGAGAGAGCCAACAAUCAGGAUGAGGAUGUCCAUUUCCUCGCGGUCCUCUGUGCUUGCUGCAAGGCUGCAUAUAAGAGCGGCCAGGAGACUCUGGAUCUCCCCUACACCAAAGGAGAAUUGAUAAAGGCAAUCGUGGCCAGAGCAGCAGAAACGCUUGGGAGCUGUGGAGCCGGAGACGGCAGGAGGAUGGAAGAAUACUGGCCUAUCUCAAUGCAGCCAGAGUUGGGGAGGAGGUGGAAAUCAGGAGGAAAAUCUGGCAUUGUCUCCGCCAAUUCAAGGACAGCAAAGGGCUGCCGAAGAACUCCAAGGUCUCUAUGAAAACCAAGGUAAAAGAGGCUCAUAUACUUCCAAGCACUGAGGCUUGUCAUCUUUGAAACCUGGUGUCAUGCCUCUGUCCUCAGAUUGUGAAGAGGAAGGGAAAGCUGGCAGUCCACCAGCAGCUGCAGGGGAACCUGAAGGGCAGAGUCCAGCUGUCAGCCCACAGCAGAUACCUGAGGCAGGUCCAGUUGAAGCUUCAGGACAAAUGGAACCAUCAGAGAUAGCACUCGUAGACAGGGAAUAGAGAGCAGGACACUGAGGUAAAUGGUGAAGCACCUUUGCAUCCUCGCGAGAGAAGACUGAUGAGACGCAGACAACAGGUGGAAGAACUCAGGAGAAGUAGAUGCCUGCUCCACAAGCCAGAUCAACCCUGAAUCUGUGUCAGCUGGCCGAAGGUGGAGAGCAAUUAAGCCCGGCUAUAAAUCAAGUCCGAAAGCUGCAGCUAAACGCUGAUAGCAACACGUCUCUUUUUCCUGGGUAUGUCAUCACAUGCCUGUCCAUGCCAAAGGGGGGUUACCCAUGAUCCCUAUUCCUUUAAAUAGUACUGAACUGUCUGCUUAUGAUUAUGCUACAUGGGGAACGAAGCCAAAUACCACCUGGGCAGAUAUGCAAGAUGAGACUUGUUUGUGCCUAUAUGUGCAGCCUAAGGAAGGAGAGUUUUGUUUCCAGUGUAAUGGCACAGGUUAUAAAGUGAGAAAUAGCUCCUGUGAAGUCACCUUUGUAAAGAAUGGGGCUAACAUAAACGGCUCUUACAAACCAAAUGUCAUUCCUUUUGAUUACUCCAUUCAAGGCUAUUAUGAACAGAUAGCCCUCUACAUCCAAACCUGCAACACAGGAUAUAUGGCCCUGGUGGGACACUCUUUUGUAUGUGGCAAUAGAACCUAUAGGACUUUACCUCCAAACUGGUCUGGAAGAUCUUAUGUAGCUCAGUUAUGGCCUACAGUUACAAUUACCCAACACUAUCCUAAAGAAGGAAUGCGAAAUCAGCGGGAUUUGGGCUCUGCCCAAGAUAUAGUGGGCAACAGAACCCCUUUAACAGUGGCUGAUGCAAUAGGAUGGUCCUUCCUCCCACCGGUAGGAGUGGCCAGAGUUGGAGGUGCUGUUAUUAGGCUCCAGGCAGUAGUGGAGGUUUUGGUCAAUGAAACAGGAGAAGCCUUUCUUUCUUUGGCAAAGGAACAAAGGAAGAUUAGGCAAAUGACCCUGCAAAAUAGAUUGGCUUUGGACUACUUCUUGGCUUCUAAGGGUGGUGUUUGUGCCCUUGUAGGGAAAGAAUGUUGUAUAUAUAUUCCUGACAAUUUUGAUGAAACCUUUGACCAUAUGCAGAAGACCCAACAAGUGGUCUAUGUACCCCCAGAUCACACUGGGGAUACUUGGUCUCGGUUCAUGGUCUUGGCUGCCAGAUUUGGGAGCCCAGGGAAGGAAAAAAUUAGCAGUUUGUUUUAUUAUCCUAAUUUCCAUUGCUUUAUUAUUAUUAUUAUUAUUAUUAUUAUUUACAUUUAUAUCCCGCUCUUCCUCCAAUGAGCCCAGAGCAGUGUACUACAUACUUGAGUUUCUUUUUCACAACAACCCUGUGAAGUAGGUUAUGCUGAGAGGAUGUGACUGGCCCAAAGUCACCCAGCUAGUUUUAUGGCUGAAUGGGGAUUUGAACCCGGGUCUCCCCGGUCCUAGUCCAGCACUCUAACCACUACACCACGCUGGCUUUUAUAUGUUGGGGUCAUGUUAUUGAAAUGCUGUAUGCAAACUCUAAACAGAUCUGAUGCUAUUUAUGCCUGCCUCACUCGAGCUGAACUGCACGAAAUUCCUACCAAGUUGCGCAAACAUGAGGCAUGCCUUCAGAUGUGUGAAGUGCAAAAGUGAGGCUUAAUGUAUUCACAUGGAGCCUCAAAGGCGGGGAAUGAUGAAGAAAAACUUUAUUUGGGUCUGGUUUGGGCCUAGUCAAAAAUCUAGGCAAGGCCUGUAAGUUUGGAUUUCAGUGCUCCUGAAGGGUUGCUAUGGUAACACAAUGUAUCAUUGUGCUGUUUGGAGGGAAUUGAAGGAGAUGGGAUGACAUAAGAACUGCUGGCAAAUGGGUGGAAGGAUGUAUAGUUCAAGUAUGAGUGUCUCAUACGAAAAGGAAGAAAAGGUGUUGGACUUCUGGUUCCAGAACACUGAAGGGAGGACGCACUAGAAGCAGCUCUGGUAGUAGUUUUUUGCCGAUAUGUCUAAUUCUUUGCUCCGAUUAAGAUAAAGGAAAAUUUAUUACCUUAUCUUGUUUGCUGGACUUUGCUGGAAACUGGGCUGACCAUAAAUCUUCUCUAAAUUGAGACAACUGUUGUCAAGAACCUUGAUAAGACAUUCUCUGUUUUGCCUCAGCUGCGUUGCUAAUAACUGAGUCAGCAAUGGUCAAAAAUAAAAGACUUCGACAGAGCUCUUCUUCUAGUCUAAUGCUGGGAGAUUCUCCAGAUUUUGCAGAAGGUGAACAAAAUGCUAAGCAAUCCUGUUUGGAUGAUUAUUUUAUCUGCAGAACUGAUGUUUCUCAAUCCCCUUUGGGAAUAAGGCAAAAUAAAGUACAAGAACCCCAGGUGAUAACUUUGCUGGAGGAUGUUGGCAGCAAUCCAAAGAAUCCUGAAGAUAAGACCUCAGCUAGCCCAGCCAAGCCUAUAUCAGAAUUAAGCUGGCUAACUACUACUCUCUCUCAAUUCUAUAAAUUGACUGCUAGCACCUUAAAAUUGAUAUUGGAGAAUAUGCAUAAGCUUGAUAGGCAGUUGAGUAAACUAUCACCCCUAUCACCUCUAUUACAACAGACUGGCAACUCUUAUGAUGUGUGCUCCUAAUUCCAAUUACUUUCUGCCCCAUUUGGCAAUGUUUAAAGCUGAGGAUAGAUCUCAGUCUUUCCUUCAAGCAAGUUCAGAAGCACAUCUCUCCAAAUCCAAUUAUGUGUUGCAGCCUAAUAAUGUUAUGCUAUCAAUAUCAAAGAUCCCAAUAAACAAUAACAAAUGGCACCA
Molecule: RNA transcript, 4491 nt
Organism: Hemicordylus capensis (graceful crag lizard)
Lineage: Eukaryota; Metazoa; Chordata; Lepidosauria; Squamata; Cordylidae
Exons: 11
Source: RefSeq, a predicted model, not a curated record